CGUCGACCAUUUCGAGACAGUCGUGUAGUGAAGUCUUCUCACGCUUCGUGAGCGUGCUCUUGCGAGUGGUGAUGAGUUUCUUGAUGGCGAAGUAGUUGUGUUCAACUGCAGUGAUGGUGAGGUUGAGCGACAGUCGUAUCACAUCUUUUGGGCUGUUCACUUUUGACACUGCAGCAGCUGGAGCUGCGGAGAGUGCUGAGAAGCAUAGCUCUGGGUACAAUGUGGCACUGCAGGAGGAACUGAUAACUGGGUGAGCGUAAGCAUGAGCAUGAGCCGCAAUGUGCUCAUCAUUUGUGUUGCUAGAGUUGUUCUUUCUGGUGGCAAUUAUAGUGA
This 333-nucleotide long non-coding RNA is filed under the name Citrus maxima (pomelo). Its description in RNAcentral is "long non-coding RNA (CMAX_LNC001971)". The record is from RNAcentral. Lineage: Eukaryota; Viridiplantae; Streptophyta; Magnoliopsida; Sapindales; Rutaceae.